GCCGUGUAUUGGAGACGAAAUAGGGUCACAGAACGAUAGAAAUGACACUGAAAUAGGGAAAAAAUGGGAAGGUAAACAUGUGAGAGCUAUUUCGUGGAAGUUGGCGGCGAAGUUAUUCCCUUAGGAUCACGUGACUGGCCUUUCUUCCUCCCUGUGGAUCUGCUCCGUCUGACGCCAUUACGAGUCAUGUCUGUUUUAUGUGAUUCCGUGGGACUUAGCCGCCGCUGUAAAGACACGCCAUGGAGAUCAAAGAGGCUGGGGAAGGAGACGGUGGCUGAGUGGUUAGCGUGCCGGUCCUGCGUUCGCUACGUCAUGGAUGAUGAGGGUUUGAAUCUGUCGCUGCCACAGACUACCUGUCCUGAAGACCACCACCAUCAUCCUGGACUGUAUGGGACUGUCCAAGGGAAAGCAAGAUGGGGCCGCUAUAAACACUUGCCGGCUUGGGCCCACCACCAGGCCCAGCCGAGGGAGGUAAGGAAAAAAAAAAAAGUAUGGCUAGGUUUGAAUAAGUUUUAGGUUAGAAUAGCUUAGUAUUAAAUAAUCUUGUAAUUAUUAUUAUUGUCAUUAAUAUCAUUGCUAUUGCAACUCAUGUUAAUGGAGAGGUAUCUUGUAUGCCCUCCUGGACGUGACUGACUCGUUCACCCUCCAUCUCGGACGACAUGUCGAGUUAGCUUCACGUUGUUGGUCGGGUGUAGUUCCGGUGCCCUGAGAAUAGGGGAACCACCUGCUGAACCCUGGGGUGAAGCCUGCACCUCAGGCAUGGCCAGAGGUUGCGGGAGUCUCCGAAACAACCGUUGGUGUAGCAGUGCCGGGAGGUUCCAUAACACAGGGCACUCCUCACCUCAACAACAGUCUCUUCACCGACAAGUAAUUCUUCACCAACAAGCUUUUCAGCAGCUUGGAGAAAUAGGUAAGCUUUCUCUACUCACUUCCUGCCCUGCCUUCAUUACCCCCGCCAGAAGCCCCCAAAGGGUGAACCCGUUAUAUUGAGCUGUAAAAUGUUCAGCAGCUCACUUAGUAACCCAGUGUGUUGUAAAAUGUUCACUACCUCCCCUUGCUUAGAGGGAAAUGCCUUUUAACCCAGUGGUUGUAGCAGCAGGAAUCAUGUUUCUUAAUGGUCCCCCCAAGCGAGAAAAAUGAGAAAAAAAUCAUCCCUCACACAAACCGUUUCAUAAUACAUAUCAAAGCACUUGUGAUCAGUAUCAUCUAUUUUGGGGGGUUUAAAUCAUGGCACAAAUUUGGCCCGUUGCUGCUACACGGUAAAGCCACAAAUUUGACCCGUUGCUGCUACACGGUAAAGCGACAAAUUUGACCCGUUGCUGCUACACGGUAAAGCCACAAAUUUGACCCGUUGCUGCUACACGGUAAAGCCACAAAUUUGUCCCAUUGCUGCUACACGGUAAAGCCACAAAUUUGUCCCAUUGCUGCUACACGGUAAAGCCACAAAUUUGUCCCAUUGCUGCUACACGGUAAAGCCACAAAUUUGUCCCAUUGCUGCUACACGGUAAAGCCACAAAUUUGACCCGUUGCUGCUACCGGGUAAGAAACAUGAUUCCCGCAGGGUUAAGCAUAGGGUGCAUGAUAUAUGUUUGCCAAAGUGCUUACUAUGCACUGGAUACAUAUUAUGCAUGCAAGAUUGGUUUUGCUUUAUAAUAUAGUUAGAUUAAUUUGAUUUAUUUAUUCAGCCCUUGACAGAGAGGAAAGUAAUAUUUCUUAUUGUACAAGGGACUUACCACAGACAUGUUGCUAACCUGAUUUUGUAUAAGUUUAAACCCAGGAAUAAGUCACCUCCAAUCCUGGCAUCAAAGUUCCUUAAGCCCCUAACUCACUCACCGGU
Molecule: RNA transcript, 1837 nt
Organism: Eriocheir sinensis (Chinese mitten crab)
Lineage: Eukaryota; Metazoa; Arthropoda; Malacostraca; Decapoda; Varunidae
Exons: 4
Source: RefSeq, a predicted model, not a curated record